Molecule: ribosomal RNA, 571 nt
Filed under: uncultured bacterium
Lineage: Bacteria
Description: partial 16S ribosomal RNA
Rfam family: Bacterial small subunit ribosomal RNA
Source: RNAcentral
UGGGGAAUCUUCCGCAAUGGACGAAAGUCUGACGGAGCAACGCCGCGUGAGUGAAGAAGGUUUUCGGAUCGUAAAACUCUGUCUUUUGGGGCGAACGUGAGUAUGGUGAACAAUCAUAGUCAGUGACGGUACCAAAGGAGGAAGCCACGGCUAACUACGUGCCAGCAGCCGCGGUAAUACGUAGGUGGCAAGCGUUGUCCGGAAUUAUUGGGCGUAAAGAGCGCGUAGGCGGGAUAGUCAGUCUGUUGUAAAAGUGCGGGGCUCAACCCCGUGAUGGCAAUGGAAACAGCUAUUCUUGAGUGCAGGAGAGGAAAGUGGAAUUCCCAGUGUAGCGGUGAAAUGCGUAGAUAUUGGGAGGAACACCAGUGGCGAAGGCGACUUUCUGGACUGUAUCUGACGCUGAGGCGCGAAAGCCAGGGGAGCGAACGGGAUUAGAUACCCCGGUAGUCCUGGCCGUAAACGAUGGGUACUAGGUGUGGGAGGUAUCGACCCCCUUCCGUGCCGGAGUUAACGCAAUAAGUACCCCCGCCUGGGGAGUACGGUCGCAAGACUGAAACUCAAAGGAAUUGAC